Molecule: ribosomal RNA, 447 nt
Filed under: Phyllobrotica sp. JJG206
Lineage: Eukaryota; Metazoa; Arthropoda; Insecta; Coleoptera; Chrysomelidae
Description: partial 28S ribosomal RNA
Source: RNAcentral
SUGANAAACYCGAAAGGUCGAAAGGGGAAAUUUCAUUCGCGUUUCGGCUGUCGAAGUUGAAUGUAUGUAUGACGGAUGGCGUUUCGACGUCGUCUGCAUCUUGCGUUCUUCAAGUCGAUGUCGAACGCGUGCACUUUUCCUCUAGUAGAACGUCGCGAUCCGUUGGGUGUCUGUCUAAGGUGUGAGGUGUAGCCCACGCGAUUUUUGAUCGUGUGGACCCUCGAUAUCCCGACAGACUCGCUCGACGGUAUACUAAUGGCGCGAGGCCGCUACUUAAGUUAGCGUUCGGCCCGUAGCAAGCACGUUCUGCGUUWGAUGGWCAUCGGACCUGGUGCCGAUCCUGUCCCGGAACGACUGUUGGUUACGGNGUUCUCGAACAGACCUCNAUUAUGAAACGCCGAUCASCGACGCNAUAGAUUUGGGNACUUUCAGGACCCGUYUUGAAAC